RNAcentral lists this ribosomal RNA (429 nucleotides) under Bacteroidota bacterium. Its description in RNAcentral is "Bacteroidetes bacterium partial 16S ribosomal RNA". It matches the Rfam family "Bacterial small subunit ribosomal RNA", at positions 355 to 776 of the family's 1533-position model. Lineage: Bacteria; Pseudomonadati; Bacteroidota. The record is from RNAcentral.
UAGGGAAUCUUCCGCAAUGGACGCAAGUCUGACGGAGCAACGCCGCGUGAGUGAAGAAGGAUUUCGGUUCGUAAAACUCUGUUGUUAGAGAAGAACAGCGCAUAGAGUAACUGUUAUGCGUGUGACGGUAUCUAACCAGAAAGCCACGGCUAACUACGUGCCAGCAGCCGCGGUAAUACGUAGGUGGCAAGCGUUGUCCGGAUUUAUUGGGCGUAAAGCGAGCGCAGGCGGUCGAUUAAGUCUGAUGUGAAAGCCCCCGGCUCAACCGGGGAGGGUCAUUGGAAACUGGUUGACUUGAGUGCAGAAGAGGAGAGUGGAAUUCCAUGUGUAGCGGUGAAAUGCGUAGAUAUAUGGAGGAACACCAGUGGCGAAGGCGGCUCUCUGGUCUGUAACUGACGCUGAGGCUCGAAAGCGUGGGGAGCGAACAGG